CCUACGGGGGGCUGCAGUGGGGAAUAUUGGACAAUGGGCGCAAGCCUGAUCCAGCCAUGCCGCGUGAGUGAUGAAGGCCUUAGGGUUGUAAAGCUCUUUUAGCAGGGAAGAUAAUGACUGUACCUGCAGAAUAAGCUCCGGCUAACUUCGUGCCAGCAGCCGCGGUAAUACGAAGGGAGCUAGCGUUGUUCGGAAUCACUGGGCGUAAAGCGCACGUAGGCGGAUUUGUUAGUGAGGGGUGAAAUCCCGGGGCUCAACCUCGGAACUGCCUUUCA
This 275-nucleotide ribosomal RNA is filed under the name uncultured bacterium. Its description in RNAcentral is "partial 16S ribosomal RNA". It matches the Rfam family "Bacterial small subunit ribosomal RNA", at positions 338 to 630 of the family's 1533-position model. The record is from RNAcentral.